RNAcentral lists this ribosomal RNA (637 nucleotides) under uncultured bacterium. RNAcentral describes it as "bacterial SSU rRNA". It matches the Rfam family "Bacterial small subunit ribosomal RNA", at positions 607 to 1244 of the family's 1533-position model. The record is from RNAcentral.
GCUCAACCGGGGAGGGUCAUUGGAAACUGGGGAACUUGAGUGCAGAAGAGGAGAGUGGAAUUCCACGUGUAGCGGUGAAAUGCGUAGAGAUGUGGAGGAACACCAGUGGUGAAGGCGACUCUCUGGUCUGUAACUGACGCUGAGGCGCGAAAGCGUGGGGAGCGAACAGGAUUAGAUACCCUGGUAGUCCACGCCGUAAACGAUGAGUGCUAAGUGUUAGAGGGUUUCCGCCCUUUAGUGCUGCAGCAAGCGCAUUAAGCACUCCGCCUGGGGAGUACGGUCGCAAGACUGAAACUCAAAGGAAUUGACGGGGGCCCGCACAAGCGGUGGAGCAUGUGGUUUAAUUCGAAGCAACGCGAAGAACCUUACCAGGUCUUGACAUCCUCUGACAACCCUAGAGAUAGGGCUUCCCCUUCGGGGGCAGAGUGACAGGUGGUGCAUGGUUGUCGUCAGCUCGUGUCGUGAGAUGUUGGGUUAAGUCCCGCAACGAGCGCAACCCUUGAUCUUAGUUGCCAGCAUUCAGUUGGGCACUCUAAGGUGACUGCCGGUGACAAACCGGAGGAAGGUGGGGAUGACGUCAAAUCAUCAUGCCCCUUAUGACCUGGGCUACACACGUGCUACAAUGGGCAGAACAAAG